RNAcentral lists this transfer RNA (80 nucleotides) under Actinomycetota bacterium. RNAcentral's name for it is "tRNA-Arg". Lineage: Bacteria; Bacillati; Actinomycetota. The record is from RNAcentral.
GCGCCUUUUCUGUCGGUCUGUGUUGGAUCGUUCCUUGUCUACGGAACCGAAGGUCAGAGGUGCGAAUCCUCUCGGGCGCG